Molecule: ribosomal RNA, 303 nt
Filed under: uncultured bacterium
Lineage: Bacteria
Description: partial 16S ribosomal RNA
Rfam family: Bacterial small subunit ribosomal RNA
Source: RNAcentral
AGCAGUAGCCGCGGGAAUACGUAGGUGGCAAGCGUUGUCCGGAAUUAUAGGGCGUAAAGGGCUCGCAGGCGGUUUCUUAAGUCUGAUGUGAAAGCCCCCGGCUCAACCGGGGAGGGUCAUUGGAAACUGGGAAACUUGAGUGCAGAAGAGGAGAGUGGAAUUCCACGUGUAGCGGUGAAAUGCGUAGAGAUGUGGAGGAACACCAGUGGCGAAGGCGACUCUCUGGUCUGUAACUGACGCUGAGGAGCGAAAGCGUGGGGAGCGAACAGGAUUAGAUACCCCAGUAGUCCCUGUCUCUUAUAC